CUACGGGGUGCUGCAGUGAGGAAUAUUGCGCAAUGGGGGAAACCCUGACGCAGCGACGCCGCGUGGAUGAUGAAGGCCUUCGGGUCGUAAAAUCCUGUCAGAAGGAAAGAAGUGUAUGGUAGCUAAUAUUUGCCAUACUUGACGGUACCUUCAAAGGAAGCACCGGCUAACUCCGUGCCAGCAGCCGCGGUAAUACGGAGGGUGCAAGCGUUGUUCGGAAUUACUGGGCGUAAAGCGCGCGUAGGCGGUUUUAUAAGUCAGAUGUGAAAGUCCACGGCUCAACCGUGGAAGUGCAUUUGUAACUGUAAGACUUGAGUAUUGGAGGGGGUAGUGGAAUUCCCGGUGUAGAGGUGAAAUUCGUAGAUAUCGGGAGGAAUACCGGUGGCGAAGGCGACUAUCUGGCCAAAUACUGACGCUGAGGUGCGAAAGCGUGGGGAGCAAACAGGAUUAGAUACCCGCGUAGUC
RNAcentral lists this ribosomal RNA (465 nucleotides) under uncultured bacterium. Its description in RNAcentral is "partial 16S ribosomal RNA". It matches the Rfam family "Bacterial small subunit ribosomal RNA", at positions 339 to 795 of the family's 1533-position model. The record is from RNAcentral.